Long non-coding RNA from Lucilia cuprina (Australian sheep blowfly), 2911 nucleotides. RefSeq lists it as uncharacterized. The transcript has 5 exons. Lineage: Eukaryota; Metazoa; Arthropoda; Insecta; Diptera; Calliphoridae. The record is from RefSeq and is a predicted model, not a curated record.
GAAAAAAUCGGUAGAGCAGAUCCUUGGAAAAAUGGCUUCUUCCAAAUUGGUCAGUAAAAUCGUUGCUGGUGAACUGUAUAGGAUCUAGCGAGUGUCGCGCCAAAAACUCCUUGGAAUAUGGUAGGAGACAUGAAAAAACUUAUAUAGCGACAGGUUUCUAUAUGACAGACUAUUAUAAAGAGAUUUUUCCACAUAUUAAAAGCGCAUAUAAGGUCAAUUUCUGAAGAAAAGCUUAAAUUGAGCCGACAAUUUUUUAUAAUAAGCCGCCGCCGACGAUCAUUUUGCAUCGGCUUGUAUCUCUGCAGCUGUUAUGGUUUGUUUUAUUUUUCGUCGGGUUCAAAGUAUAUAAAUACAGUAGCAUCACUAGAACAGCUGACUAUUUUUUUUAAAGCUCGAUAAUGAAUGCAAGUUGUCAAACUGUAUUUUGACAAUUUGUAAUUUAAGCAAGUUGUCAAAGUAUAUUUUGACAACUUUCAAAAUUGUUUAUGGAGCCAUUUUUAAUUGGUUUUUAUUUGCUAAAAGUUGAAAAAAUAAUGAAAAGUGGAAAAAAUAAUUUUUAAUUGUUAAAGUGCUAAAAAAUAAAUAAUAGAGAAAUAAAAGAAAAAAGUGAAAAAUAAAAUUAGCAGCAUAUUUUUAAUAUAUAUUUAAAAGAAUAAAUAAAAAAACAAGCUGUAAACAAUGAGACGCUGCUGCCUUUGCAAAAAAAAAGACAAUCUAUCAAAAGGAAGUUUUUUCUCCAUUCCAAAAGAUGAACGGAGGAGGAAGAAGUGGAGCGAAGCUUGCCAGAAAGAAUUCGGGAAAACUGAAAAAAAUUUGCAUGGAUCAUUUUCAUUCAUCCUCGUUCAUUAAAAUUGGUGCGAAAACCGAAUUAGUGUAUAAUGCUGUUCCUUCGAUUUGCCUUUUCAUAAAUGAGACACCAAGGUUGCAUCAUUUUAAUUCCGAAAAUAUACCUUCGGAAUUUUCAACAGCAGCAGUUGAACAAAAUUGCACGGAAAUCCGGCAAAACUAUUCUAACAAAGGCUCUACUGGUGUUCUGUUGCCGGUUGAAAAUUUACAAGCUCCAUUGGAGGUGGGACAUAUGUUUUCCAAUUCUGAAUGCACAGAAGAUCUGUUUCCUUCGGAAUUUUCAACUCCAGCUAUAGAAUUUGGUCAACAUUGCACGGAAAUCCGGCAAAUAUGUUCCAACGACACUGCUGUUGAUCUGUUACCGGCUGAAAUUAUACCAGCUCCAUUACAGUUGGGACAAAUGUUUCCCAACUCUGAUACAAGUGCAGAUCUGUUUCGCACCGAGUAUGUGUUUUCAUCGACUCCAGUAAAAAUUAUCCAAAAAAUUAUCCAAAAAAUUAUCAGUUUUUGGUUAUAUCGCGUUUCAUUGGGACAUUUGCACGAGCUUUAUAUUGUUGUAGUUUGGUUAAGCAGCCUCAUAUGUAUGUAUGCGUUCCCACGACAAUUGGAUCUCCGCUCCGGAACGACCCGAUUCUCAAUCGGCCAAUUAUUAUCAACUCAGCAAUAACUGUAUCAACCGGAAUUUUUUCCCAAGAAGGACGUCCAGUCAUAGCCAAUCUGUUACAACAACAACAGCAUAUAUAUGUCAGUGGCAGCAGCAAGUCAUGAUAUUUUUUCCGGUUUUAUUCUUCAACAUCUCUUGACCCGAAAGUUGUGAAAAUUCUCCCAGUACAUAAGUUUCAUCAUCCAUCACACAACAAGUUUAUUUUUUAUAAAAUACCUUAAUUUUCACUCUUUUUUUUCUUUUAAGCCCUUUACCGAAUUGAUCUGGAACUUUCCGAACUUUAUACGACUUCAACUUUGCGCACACAAGAAUCAGAGCAUUUAACUUUACGAGAUGCUUUUCUGACAGAAAUGUUCGGUAUAAGUAUCUGUUACACUUCAUCCAGAUUUUCUUUCAAUUCUCAAGACAAUAAGACAAUUUUUUGUCUAAAAAAGUGUGUACAGGUUUUUUCUGACACAGUAGUAGUGGUGGAGCAACAUCAGUUACAAAAGCUGGUAUUUUUAAUGACACAACACAUUGUGGCCCGAUGUCUCAAAUAUGGGCAAAUCUUGUGAAUCUUCCUCAAAUACUAAAUCAUCAGAAGUUACAACUCGCAUGUUUGGGAAAUCAGUUACAUAUGUAUAUAAAGAAUAUUUUGUUGCUGAAAAAGAAGGAUCCUGGUAGUGUUACUAAAAUAGCUAAUCGUUUGGAUCACCAAUACAAUUAUUGAUCUGGAAAAGGAUAUAACAAUUAUACCGACACCAGUCUUCUCUGUAACGCGUAAAAGAGAGAAACACAUCAAAAUGGAACAGAAGUGACCAUUGUACCGGCUGGACCAACUACUAAGAGACCCAACAAAGAUCAUAUGCCGUCACAUUGUCAUAAAACCAGUUAAUGAAUACGUUAUUCUCUUAACAUAUAAUUGAUGUUUAUUGUAAUAAAUAUUUGUCAGGUAUAGAUUUCCUAUUAGACAAACAUUAUUCCCUUACUAGAGUUUUUAUUUAAAUACAGCACUUUUGUUCGUCCUGUCUAUUAGAUGUAUUAAAAAUAUUUGUAAUGUAAACGUGAGAAUAAUUUUGUUUCCAAUUUUUUCCAUAACCGAUGUAAAAAAUUAAAAAAAAAAUAAUUUUUUUCUUAUUUGAUUUAACAAAAUCAUGUCAAUUAAAGACUAUACUACUUCAAGCCCCCACAGUAAUCAAUCGAAUUCGUUUAUUUUUAUUUUUUUUUUAUUUUAUUUGAUAUUUUUUUUAAUAAAUUGAUAUAUAUGAAAUUACAUACAUAUGUAUUUAUAUAACAAAAUAAUAAAUUUUUAUAAAGGAAAGAAAAUAAAUUUAUAUCUGUAAUUCAAACCAGACAUUUUGUUCAAGAGAAAAUACAUUUUUUAUAUUAUAUUAUUAUAUAAUAAAUAAAAUAAAACAGAAU